UAGGGAAUCUUCCACAAUGGGCGAAAGCCUGACGGAGCAACGCCGCGUGAGUGACGAAGGUCUUCGGAUCGUAAAACUCUGUUAUUAGGGAAGAACAAAUGUGUAAGUAACUAUGCACGUCUUGACGGUACCUAAUCAGAAAGCCACGGCUAACUACGUGCCAGCAGCCGCGGUAAUACGUAGGUGGCAAGCGUUAUCCGGAAUUAUUGGGCGUAAAGCGCGCGUAGGCGGUUUUUUAAGUCUGAUGUGAAAGCCCACGGCUCAACCGUGGAGGGUCAUUGGAAACUGGAAAACUUGAGUGCAGAAGAGGAAAGUGGAAUUCCAUGUGUAGCGGUGAAAUGCGCAGAGAUAUGGAGGAACACCAGUGGCGAAGGCGACUUUCUGGUCUGUAACUGACGCUGAUGUGCGAAAGCGUGGGGAUCAAACAGG
RNAcentral lists this ribosomal RNA (429 nucleotides) under Actinomycetes bacterium. RNAcentral describes it as "Actinobacteria bacterium partial 16S ribosomal RNA". It matches the Rfam family "Bacterial small subunit ribosomal RNA", at positions 355 to 776 of the family's 1533-position model. Lineage: Bacteria; Bacillati; Actinomycetota; Actinomycetes. The record is from RNAcentral.